This 2425-nucleotide long non-coding RNA is filed under the name Lathyrus oleraceus (garden pea). RNAcentral's name for it is "Pisum sativum (pea) long non-coding RNA (PSAT_LNC030522)". The record is from RNAcentral. Lineage: Eukaryota; Viridiplantae; Streptophyta; Magnoliopsida; Fabales; Fabaceae.
AUUGAGGAGAUUCAUUUUUGGAUUUAACGUUUCUUUGAAGAUUUCUUUAAGAUUUCAGAGGCUUGCCAUAUUGUGUGGUGUUGUGUUUAGUUGUGAUAAUUUCAAUGGAAAAAAGAAGAAGAUUCUUCUCUCCAGAUUGACCUUGGUAGUACUGUGUGGAAGUCUACAGACAGGGUAAGAGUUCUUUUGAUCUUCAGGCAUAUCAAAACUUAAGAUACCGACAAAAUUGGGUGGAAAUUUCUAUAUACAAAGACAUAUGGAAUUUUCUUUACUUGACCAUCCUUCUAGCUUCCCACUUCCAUCCAACAAAUUCAGAAAACAUCCUCAAUCUUUGGCAAGUACUCAACAUGUCUCCCAUCUCACCAUUACUAGCUCAAUUGAUAGGGUAAUCUCUCAAUCAACAUAAAAAAUAAUUUAUACUUAGUUUGAUCAUGUUCUAAUAGAAUUCGUCAAAGUAAUCAAAACACACACAUAUGAGGAUUUUUUUCGGUUGUAUCUUGGGUUAUGUUAGGGUAGGACAUUUUUGGGAAAGUAGGUUUAAACCUUUGAACUUAGGUGCCUAGUUCUCCUUUUGUUAUCAUCCCACUUAUUUCCUUAUUAAUGGUACUAGAGAUCUUGUUAUUGUGGUCCUCAAUAUUCAUCUUGCGUUCUUUUUUUUUUUUUAAGAUGUUAAUUGUUAACUCCUUAUUUUUUCAAAUUUUUUGAAUUUAUUAUCAUUUUUUCUCUAGUACCCCAAACUUAAACUUUGUUGACUUCUAAGAGCAACCCCAAACUUAUUCAUUUUCAUACAACUUUAGAACUAAACAUUUCUACCUAACUCCAACUUUAGAACUCAAGAUCAAGUUUUAUUCAGAUUUCAAAAGAUUCAUUCAUUAUUCAAAUAUUCAAAGCUUGGAUUUUGGAGGGAAAAACCAGAUUAAAAAUUCUUGAGAAAAUAAGAAGUUAAAAAUAACUUUAAAAAAAAGAGAAAAAGAAUGCAAAAUGAAUAUGGAGGACCACAAUAGCAAUAUCUCUAGUAUCGUUAAUCAGGAAAAAAAUUGGUAUGAUAACAAUAGGAGAACUAGGUACCUAACUCCAAAGGUUUAAACCUACUUUCCCAAAAAUGUCCUACUUAAACAUAAGCCAAGUUACAACCGAAAAAUCCCCCAAGUGUGUGUGUGUUUUGAUUUCUUUAAAGAAUUCUAUUAGAAUAUGAUCAAGCUCGGUAUAAACUAUUUUGCCUAUUGAUUGAGAGAUUAUCUUGUCAAUUGAGUGAGUCAUGGUGAGAUGAGAAACAAGUUGAGUACUUGUCAAAGAUUGAGGAUGUUUUUUGAAUUUAAUGGAUUGUAGUUGGAAUCUAGAAUGGUAGUGAGGUAAAAAAAAGUUCAUAUGGUGAUGUUCACUUGUUAUUACGGAAACUUGUUUUUCUGUUUGGAAUUUGUAAUGCAGACAAGUUACUUAAUGAGAAGCACCAGUUCAAGUUUAGGAUUGUGAUGACAUUUUGUCAUUGUAUGUUCUUUUGUCGAAGAAACAUAGCAAAAUACGUCAAAGAUGAGCAAAAAUGAUGAAUAAAGACCAAAGAAGUAUGCAAAAAUGAUCAAGUAUGAAGAAAUAAAGACUUGGUGAAAAUAUUAUGGAAAAGGAGCAAAACCGUGUAGCUACUAGAAUAAUCACGCGCAACAUCGCGCACGUGAUAGAGAUGUAUAGUUAUCAUCGCGCACAGGAUGAAGGUUAUCACACACGCGGCAGGUCCUUUUCUAGGACUAUUCGGACGCGUUUUAGACUGAUUUGAUAACUUUAUAAGGGAGUUUUGGGCAUCUUUUCAAGGGUUCUACAAUUUUGACUAAAAAGGACGGUAAAGAGCAUCAAGAGGGAGAUUUUGAGAGCAUUGGAAGCCAUUAGAGGCUAGUCCUUCAAGUAUUCUCAUAUGCAAUCUUCAUUUUAUUGCUUGGUAUUUAUCUAUAUCGUUAUGAGUAGCUAAAUUUCUCUAAGUUAGGUUUUGUGUGAUGAACUUACUUUGAACUUGUUCAGACAUAUGUUUGAUUUGUCAGUGCAUGAAUAAUUGAAGUUAUAUUUCUAUUUAAUUACCUAUUAUGUUUAAUGAUUUUAUGUGAGAUACUCUUUUAAUAUGAUUAUGGACAUAUAUGGAAUACUGACCAUUAAUCUAUAUGUUGGAACUAAGACAAUUAUUGUACUUAUUCUAGUUGAAUAGGGAUAAGAGACAUCUAGUAGUGGCAUUUGAGUUAGCGUAUUAUUGUAUUGCCUAAUUUCACUUACGCGAGUUGAAUAUGGAUAAGAGACCUAUAGUAGGAAGUAUUGAGCUAUACACCAAGGGAUUGAGUAUAGUGAUUUUGUUAAUUCAUCAUAGAAAUAUAACGACUUUCUCAUUUAUGUAAUACAUCAAACAUCAACAGGGGAUAAAUAAGGGAUUCUAUACAAAACCUUA